This 439-nucleotide ribosomal RNA is filed under the name uncultured bacterium. RNAcentral's name for it is "partial 16S ribosomal RNA". It matches the Rfam family "Bacterial small subunit ribosomal RNA", at positions 338 to 795 of the family's 1533-position model. The record is from RNAcentral.
CCUACGGGAGGCAGCAGUGGGGAAUAUUGCACAAUGGGGGAAACCCUGAUGCAGCGACGCCGCGUGCGUGAAGAAGUAAUUCGUUAUGUCAAGCUCUAUCAGCAGGGAAGAACAUUACGAUACCUGAGUGAUAAGCCCCGGCUAACUACGUGCCAGCAGCCGCGGUCAUACGUAGGGGGCACGCGUUAUCCGGAUUUACUGGGUGUAAAGUGAGCGUAGACGGUAGUGCAAGUCUGGAGUGAAAGGCGGGGGCUCAACCCCGGACUGCUCUGGAAACUAUACGGCUGGAGUGCAGGAGAGGUAAGUGGAAUUCCAAGUGUAGCGGUGAAAUGCGUAGAUAUAAGGAAGAACACCAGUGGCGAAGGCGGCUUACUGGACUGAAACUGACGUUGAGGGUCGAAAGCGUGGGGAGCAAACAGGAUUAGAUACCCUAGUAGUC